RNAcentral lists this ribosomal RNA (220 nucleotides) under uncultured Glomus. RNAcentral's name for it is "partial small subunit ribosomal RNA". It matches the Rfam family "Eukaryotic small subunit ribosomal RNA", at positions 591 to 816 of the family's 1831-position model. Lineage: Eukaryota; Fungi; Glomeromycota; Glomeromycetes; Glomerales; Glomeraceae. The record is from RNAcentral.
CCAAUAGCGUAUAUUAAAGUUGUUGCAGUUAAAAAGCUCGUAGUUGAAUUUCGGGGUUAGUAGAUUGGUCAUGCCUCUGGUAUGUACUGGUCUCACUGAUUCCUCCUUCCUGAUGAUCCGUAAUGCCAUUAAUUUGGUGUUGCGGGGAAUUUGGACUGUUACUUUGAAAAAAUUAGAGUGUUUAAAGCAAGCUAACGCUUGAAUACAUUAGCAUGGAAUA